UAAUACGAAGGAUGCAAGCGUUAUCCGGAAUUAUUGGGUUUAAAGGGUGCGUAGGCGGACUAAUAAGUCAGUGGUGAAAGCCUGCAGCUUAACUGCAGAAUUGCCGUUGAUACUGUUAGUCUUGAGUACAGUUGAGGUAGGCGGAAUGUGUCAUGUAGCGGUGAAAUGCUUAGAUAUGACACAGAACACCGAUUGCGAAGGCAGCUUGCUAAGCUGUAACUGACGCUGAGGCACGAAAGCGUGGGGAGCAAACAGGAUUAGAUACCCUGGUAGUCCACGCCCUAAACGAUGAUAACUCGCUGUUGGCGAUACACUGUCAGCAGCCAAGCGAAAGCAUUAAGUUAUCCACCUGGGGAGUACGACCGCAAGGUUGAAACUCAAAUGAAUUGACGG
RNAcentral lists this ribosomal RNA (393 nucleotides) under uncultured bacterium. RNAcentral's name for it is "bacterial SSU rRNA". It matches the Rfam family "Bacterial small subunit ribosomal RNA", at positions 521 to 916 of the family's 1533-position model. The record is from RNAcentral. RNAcentral also lists the same sequence under 1 other name.